AUGAGUUUCUGAGAAUAGUAACUUCCCUUAUCCUAAGUUGGGUGUCUAACUUGGGAUGAUCAGUGAAGUGUGAAGAUGGGUGGCGGUGUCAGCGUGGAACAGGCUCAGGGAUAUUCCCAAAUCAGCGUAACUAAUGGGAAGCUUUUCUAAUGUUGGUGUAAUUGGCAGGAAAUACGGAGAUAUUAAUUCAUUUUCCUUUCAAAUACUGGCUUAUUUCCUUUAUUUACAAAAUCCAAUUUAAUUAGAGAAAUUCCCUUCUGGAGGAAGUUGGAUUUAUGUAUUGAUUUUUUUAAAGGAAAGGAGAGCAGACUGGGAAAAUGCUGAGAAGACAAUAUACAAAUGAAUUAUAAAGAAAAUACUACCCAUCUACUCUGGUUCCAAGUAAGACAAGAGCUCUUGAGGAUCAUGAAGAUUUUGGCAGCAAGGAAUUUCACCAGAAAGAGUGGGAGUUCUAAUACCUCUAGAAGUUUGGCUGGCAGGGAUUGGGGGAGAAGCUCUCCUCCCUAUGCAUUAAGAUCUCCCAUUGAAACUCUUAGAAAUACUCUUUCUGUUUCAAUGUUUACCUCACAAAGCUGGUGGGCAAAGCCCCAGGGGGAAGACUGAUUCUGACACACUGAAAUAACACGAUUUCUUUGUUGUGCAUUGGUAACAAAGGGAGGCUUCUUAACGACUCCAAAUACAGUUUUGAAACUAAGCAGCAGAGUUCACCCUCUGGCAACUGUCCAAUUUCUACCAACAGGUCAACUGUAAGGGGGAAAGGAGACAAUGCAUGCCCACCCCCUUACGCAGGAUAGACAGCAGUGCCUAUUCACUUACAGCAAGCAAAUGGAGGUGCCAUGCUGUGUACUAUAAAGGAUCUAGCUCUGAUGUCCAUGGCAGGUAGGAAGGGUACCUCAUCUUAAAGCACUGAGUGGAAAAGGAGUGAAAGAGAAGUGAUGCAGAAAAACUAUGACCAAAAAAUCAUAUUUAAAUGGGAAAUAGGUAUGUAACCUAAAAUGUUUGGGGGCUCAUUUGUCCCCAAGGGGCUUUGCCUAACAGCUCUGUGAAGGAUAUAGUUCUCUCUCAUUUGGCAGUAGUCUUCCACUGACAACUCCUGACACAUAUGUACAGUACCUCUCACUUCACUGACUCAGUUCAACCAAGAGUCUAGAAUUGCAGCACACAGAGGAAUGGUGAUUGGCCAAGUUACCUCUGACGUCAUAAUGAGACUAUUUAAGAUGGACCUAAGCUGCCCUGACUAUAACAUUAUUGGACACCUACCCAGAGGUCUCAGAUGCAAAGUUCCUUCCUGAAAGAUACAAAUUUCCACUCUCUUGUACUAUCUGACAUUAAUAUCAUCCACUGGCUAUAGUGGAAAAGUAGUAAGACUGAAGAUUUUCAUACAGAGAAACCCUGACAAUGAUGAGCCACUGAAACAUGCCAUUGUUGGAACAAUUGCUCUGAGAACUGACUUUUCAGGGACAAGCAAAUUCUCUGUAAGUGGGAGAAGGGAACAAUCAAAUUGCUUGUCAAACAGAUACCAAAACUAAGAAAAUGAUCUUUAAAUCAUGCCAUGCUGAGCCACUGAACAGCAUGUGAGAGAAAAUACAGAUUCUAAUUUGCAGACAUUUACUUCCAAUUUCAUUCAGAGGCAUUCUUUUCCUCCAUCAGCAUUUCUGGA
Long non-coding RNA from Mauremys reevesii (Reeves's turtle), 1660 nucleotides. RefSeq lists it as uncharacterized. The record is from RefSeq and is a predicted model, not a curated record. The transcript is spliced from 4 exons. NCBI's taxonomy places the organism in Eukaryota, Metazoa, Chordata, Testudines, Geoemydidae.